Molecule: non-coding RNA, 136 nt
Filed under: Brachyspira aalborgi
Lineage: Bacteria; Pseudomonadati; Spirochaetota; Spirochaetia; Brachyspirales; Brachyspiraceae
Description: FMN riboswitch (RFN element)
Rfam family: FMN riboswitch aptamer (RFN element)
About the family: The RFN element is a highly conserved domain that is found frequently in the 5'-untranslated regions of prokaryotic mRNAs that encode for flavin mononucleotide (FMN) biosynthesis and transport proteins. This element is a metabolite-dependent riboswitch that directly binds FMN in the absence of proteins.
Source: RNAcentral
AUCUUCGGGGCAAGGUGAAAUUCCAUACCGGCGGUAAAGUCCGCGAGCCUUAUUUUAUAAGAUUGAUUAAUUAUAAAAUAAAGCAGAUUUGGUGAAAUUCCAAAACCGACAGUUAAAGUCUGGAUGGUAGAAGAUU